Molecule: transfer RNA, 77 nt
Filed under: Candidatus Saccharimonadota bacterium
Lineage: Bacteria; Candidatus Saccharimonadota
Also listed under: 1 other name
Description: tRNA-Thr
Rfam family: tRNA
About the family: Transfer RNA (tRNA) molecules are approximately 80 nucleotides in length. Their secondary structure includes four short double-helical elements and three loops (D, anti-codon, and T loops).
Source: RNAcentral
GCCACCUUAGCUCAGUUGGCCAGAGCGGCUGUUUUGUAAACAGCGGGUCGUGGGUUCGAAUCCCUCAGGUGGCUCCA